CAGUCGCCGCGGUAACACGAAGGGGGCUAGCGUUGUUCGGAUUUACCGGGCGUAAAGGGCGCGUAGGCGGACUGAUAAGUCAGGGGUGAAAUCCCAAGGCUCAACCUUGGAACUGCCUUUGAUACUGUUUGUCUUGAGUUCGAGAGAGGUAAGUGGAACUGCGAGUGUAGAGGUGAAAUUCGUAGAUAUUCGCAAGACCACCAGUGGCGAAGGCGGCUUACUGGCUCGAAACUGACGCUGAGGCGCGAGAGCGUGGGGAGCAAACAGGAUUAGAUACCCGUGUAGUCCCUGUCUCUUAUAC
Molecule: ribosomal RNA, 301 nt
Filed under: uncultured bacterium
Lineage: Bacteria
Description: partial 16S ribosomal RNA
Rfam family: Bacterial small subunit ribosomal RNA
Source: RNAcentral